CAACUGAACGGAAAUAACGUCUUCAUUCGGGAUAUUGCGUCAGAUCUGAGCUUAGUCGAGAGAGGUUAGCAUAAUAGUUGCACGUACAAAGUCUCCAUUUGUAAAUUACGGGUGUUUAAGUAAAAAUAAGCACAAAAUCUGACCCGGUGUUAAAGCUGCAGUGCUAUGGCAAACCGCAGCCUGAAAGAGAUAACGAUUGAAAAUGCCGCAUCACCGAAACCUCAGGACGAGUCUCCAUCAUCACCUUCAUCUCCUUCAUCACCAUCAUCACCUUCAUCAUCACCAGCGGCGCAAGAGAUGACUCUAGACCUCAAGAACUUCAGGAGACCCGGGGAGAAAACAUUCACUCAACGGUGCAGACUGUUUGUCGGUAAUCUCCCGACGGAUUUAACGGAGGAAGAUUUCAAGAAGCUGUUUUCCAAGUAUGGCGAAUCCAACGAGGUGUUCAUCAACCGAGACCGAGGAUUCGGCUUUAUCCGCCUGGAGACAAGGACUCUUGCAGAGAUUGCUAAGGCUGAGUUGGAUGGUGUGGUGCUAAAGAACAGGCCCAUCCGUAUCCGAUUUGCCACACAUGGGGCUGCACUCACAGUACGAAACCUUGCUCCAGUGGUAUCCAAUGAGCUACUGGAACAGGCUUUCUCACAGUUUGGCCCAGUUGAGCGGGCAAUUGUGGUGGUUGAUGACCGUGGCCGACCGACAGGCAAGGGGAUUGUGGAGUUUGCCAAUAAGCCAGCUGCCCGGAAAGCUUUGGAUGGCUGUACAGAUGGAGCCCUUCUGCUUACAACGUCCCCUCGUCCAGUCAUUCUUGAGCCAACAGAACAGUUUGAUGAUGAAGAUGGGCUCGCAGAAAAGCUGUUGCAAAAAUCAGCACAAUAUCACAAGGAAAGGGAGCACCCACCACACUUUGCACAGCCAGGCACCAUUGAGUUUGAGUUCUCCUCUCGCUGGAAAGCUCUGGAUGAGAUGGAGAAACAGCAGAGGGAACAGGUUGACCGAAACAUACAAGAGGCCAAGGAGAAAUUGGAAGCUGAAAUGGAGGCCGCCAAACAUGAGCAUCAGCUCAUGAUGAUGAGACAAGAUCUCAUGAGACGGCAAGAGGAGCUGCGGCGCUUGGAGGAGCUCAGGAAUCAGGAGCUGCAGAAACGCAAGCAGAUUGAGAUGAGACAUGAAGAAGAGAGACGCAGACGUGAGGAAGAGAUGAUACGGCAUAGAGAGCAGGAUGAAAUGAGACGGCAACCAGAUGGAUUCAAGUCCAGUUUCUUGGACAGUGUAAGUACAAGAGAAAUACUUCAUUUUCAUUCUGAUCUUUACAGAAUUCUAUUAGGUUUUGAUUUCAUCAGACAGACGACAGUAGGUACCAGACCAAAAUUACCCUUACCGCCACAGUAAAACUGUAAAUUCCAGUCUCACGUGAGACUCAUUCACAAAAUCACUAAGUGGCACAAAGGGACAUUUUUAUUUGUAUUUAUUUUUUGCACCUUUGUUAUGGGUGAAGAAAGUGAGAGUUGUUACAAUUAUUAACAUUUUGAAUAUUUAUAUUUUAUUUUUUUAAUUUUCAUUUUUAAAUAGAGAUCAAACAAUGCAAGGAAUGAAUUGUAUCAUGAAAGUAAUUUCUCAUUAAUUAAAAAAAUGCUAAAAUGUCAAGCCUUUCAUCCAAUACAUGGAAACUAUUGAUUCAUAGGCAUUAGUUAAUUGAAAUUAAAAUACCUGAACAAUCAUAAGAUUUUUUUAGCCCCUCUAAAAAAAAAAAAGAAAUCUCAUCGGAUACUCACCCUAAAGCUGUCUCAAACUUGUAGGACUGACUUGUGAAACACAAAGAUAUUUUCAAGAAACAUUGUGUUUAUAUCCAUAAAACGUAUGUCAAUGGGGUCCAAAACUUGGGGUCCAACAAACACACAACGGCAGCAGGUUUGUCAAAAGUACCGGUACUUCGCUACCAAGUCAGUACUAAAAUAAAAAAGAUGUAAUGAUACCAGUGUUUCUGCAGUACCGAAUACCGACUCAAUUUGGUACCCGCACGCUGUCUGACUGACACACGACUGUUACUUGUUUUACACAGCGAAAGGCUGCAAUCUUAGUUUGUAUUUGAGCUGUAUGCUUUAAAUGAAAGUGUGAAUCCGUUCGCUCAUACACUGGAAACUCCACAGACAUUAAGAAUCAAUCGCGUUGUAUGAGAUGACAAAGCAGAGCACUAAACCACUGUAAAGCACGUACUACAUGUAGACAAUAUAUUUAUAUAAUGAAAUCACAGCAUUUGCACUUUAACUAUCACACUGCCAUGUAGCAAACUGUUUAUCCAUCAGAAGUGAAGCUUCCAUCAAAAGCUCACGUCAAAAUAAAAGCAUGAUUCAAAAUAAGCUAAGUGCCAGAAAUUGCAACAGAAAUAUAUUACAACUGUAUAGUAAAAUGUAAUAUUACUUGUAGUAAUAUAAUACUUAAGCAAUGCAUACUUAAUUGAGAAACACUGAAGGAAACGUGCAUAUCAUUGAAUUUUUUAUUUACAUUUAACUUUAAAUAGGCUAAAGAUGUGUGUUCAAUAGCACUUUACCAUAUUAGCACAUUUUUGCUGUGGUAUCGAAAUUGGUAUUGAGAACUGUGAAAUUUCCCUGGCAUCGGUACCAACUACUGAAAUUUUGGUAUCGUGACAACAGUAAUGACAGCAUAAAGGUAAUCUACGACAUAAGCAGUUUAAUCCAUGUCUUCUGAAGAGAUAUGAUCGCUCUUCUGCGCGUGUCAGGCGCAAGGAAGUGUAAUCACACAAGAUUUAUAGUUAUGUUAAUUUGCAUUCAGGGUUGGGCGGAUUACAUUAAGAAAGUAUUCUGGGCUGAAUACUGAAUACUCUCUCUUAAAUGUAUUCAGUUAAGUAUUCCGAAUACAUCAAAUAAAAAGUAACAUAAUACAAUAAUACUUUUAGAAUAUAUAUUUAUAAAGGCAAGGUACAGUUGGAGGAAUGAAGUGUGAUGAUAUUUUAUCUGAAGUGCUACACCUCUCAGUGAAUCUUAAUAGCGAGUUUCUUUAAAUGAAAUAUGGAGUUGGACACUAAUGUUUUUCUUUAUGAAAAGAAGAAUAACAGAAGACAGUUUGUAGUCAACUGUAAUAUUUUAAUAUUUUAACAUUUUAAUAGUUUUCUUAAUCUGUUAUUUGAUUGACACAAAUUGACACAAAAUUAGAUAAGAAAUGUAAAUAAACUGUAUUUAUUUUCAAGAUGAUAACUGGAUGCUUGCAUAUUUCCAUAUUUAGGCUGAUUUAUUAAUUUUCUAUCUCUUUUAUUACCAACACUUUUAUUUUGGGUGCUUUUGAUUCUUUUACUCAUCCUGUUUUUUAUUUUAUUUGAUUUUUAUUUAUUUUUUAUUGUUAACAAUUGUUUUAUAUUUUUUGUGAAUCACUUCAUAUGAGAUGUUUCUUAAGUGAGAAAUAAUAUUAAUAUGCUUGUAUGUUACAAUGUGUCACACUGAAGUAGCCCCACACGUCUGUAAGACACAAAUGUUACAGUAGAUAUUUACAUGUUUUUCUGUCAUUGUUUGAACUCUUCAGGUCUGUUUCCCUCUUUCAGUGUUUGCAGUAGGACUACUUUCUGUAUAUUUAUUUUUUACCUAUUUAUAGUAGUCUAUUAUUGUUGUUAAUAACUGCUGUUUCUCAACAGUUCUGCAAGUUUCUGAUGUGGAUGUGACUCACCAAAUGCUAUUUGAGAGCCAUCCGUCUUUACUCCGUCUUUACACAGAAGCCGCAGCUGCAUAAAUGUAUUUACAGCACAACAAUCAUAGGAAACAAUCCGCGUGAAUAGUAUAUUUGUGGAAAUAAUGUUACGACUGUAUUGAUACUGCUGCACAGCUGACAGCGUGCUGAUUGUUAAAAUGUGCUGGUGCGGUUGCCAGAUAUCCAAUCUAGGAAUCAUUAUACAUGAAUAAGACAUUUCCAUUCUUUAGUGCUUACCAUCAGACCUUUUGUUGACUGCGGUCCAUUUUUAAAGUAUCCCAAAAACACAACCCACGAUUCUUUGAUUUUAAACCGCGAUUGUGUUUUCAAAUUAGCCCAAUUUGGCAUGAAACCCUGCCAACACUGCGGUCUCGCGCUGCUGCUGAUCUGGGCAAGAGAGAGCGAGAAGAUGCGUUCGCAGCUCACAUCAGCGCUGUUUCUCACUUGAUUGACAAGAUGACUUAUUUUGAGGUCAUUAUGAGAGAAGUAUUCUAAAAGUAUUCUACCAAAAUUGUAUAAAGUAACUUCUGAAUACAAGUGCUUGAAAAUGUAUCGGUGGCUGAAUACAGUUACUUCAUUUUUGUAUUCUGAAGACGUAAUGCCGUUUCAUAUAUUCCUUUACAGCACAACCCUGUUUGCAUUGUUACAGAUUAAUGAGCGGUUUUCUCAAGGAGGAUCUCCUCUGAUGGGCUCUUCUGUGGGUGGGCGGUCUGGUGUUGACUCUCCUCAGCAACAGCAGCAAACAGCGGUCCCUGGUGUGGUUGUCCCAGGUG
This is an RNA transcript of Myxocyprinus asiaticus (Chinese sucker), 4469 nucleotides long. It is a transcript of the gene named paraspeckle component 1, with no coding region annotated. NCBI's taxonomy places the organism in Eukaryota, Metazoa, Chordata, Actinopteri, Cypriniformes, Catostomidae. The record is from RefSeq and is a predicted model, not a curated record. The transcript has 7 exons.